UCCUGUGUGGCUCAGUCGGUUGAGCGUCUGACUUCGGCUCAGGUCAUGAGCUCACAGUUUGUGGAUUCAGGCCCCACUUCGGGAU
This 85-nucleotide transfer RNA is filed under the name Felis catus (domestic cat). It matches the Rfam family "tRNA". From Rfam's summary of the family: Transfer RNA (tRNA) molecules are approximately 80 nucleotides in length. Their secondary structure includes four short double-helical elements and three loops (D, anti-codon, and T loops). The record is from Rfam by way of RNAcentral. RNAcentral also lists the same sequence under 2 other names. Lineage: Eukaryota; Metazoa; Chordata; Mammalia; Carnivora; Felidae.